RNAcentral lists this ribosomal RNA (480 nucleotides) under uncultured bacterium. RNAcentral describes it as "partial 16S ribosomal RNA". It matches the Rfam family "Bacterial small subunit ribosomal RNA", at positions 29 to 507 of the family's 1533-position model. The record is from RNAcentral.
AUGAACGCUGGCGGCGUGCUUAACACAUGCAAGUCGAACGAAGCACUUUAUUUGAUAUCCUUCGGGACUGAUUAUUUUGUGACUGAGUGGCGGACGGGUGAGUAACGCGUGGGUAACCUGCCUUGUACAGGGGGAUAACAGUUGGAAACGGCUGCUAAUACCGCAUAAGCGCACAGCAUCGCAUGAUGCAGUGUGAAAAACUCCGGUGGUAUAAGAUGGACCCGCGUUGGAUUAGCUAGUUGGUGAGGUAACGGCCCACCAAGGCGACGAUCCAUAGCCGACCUGAGAGGGUGACCGGCCACAUUGGGACUGAGACACGGCCCAAACUCCUACGGGAGGCAGCAGUGGGGAAUAUUGCACAAUGGGCGAAAGCCUGAUGCAGCGACGCCGCGUGAGCGAAGAAGUAUUUCGGUAUGUAAAGCUCUAUCAGCAGGGAAGAUAAUGACGGUACCUGACUAAGAAGCACCGGCUAAAUACGUG